RNAcentral lists this ribosomal RNA (433 nucleotides) under uncultured bacterium. RNAcentral's name for it is "partial 16S ribosomal RNA". It matches the Rfam family "Bacterial small subunit ribosomal RNA", at positions 29 to 507 of the family's 1533-position model. The record is from RNAcentral.
AACGAACGCUGGCGGCAGGCCUAACACAUGCAAGUCGAGCGCGCCCUCCGGGGUGACCGGCGGACGGGUGAGUCACGCGUGGGAACGUGCCCUUCUCUACGGGAUAGCCUCGGGACACUGAGAGUAAUACCGCAUACGUCCCUUGGGUGAAAGAUUUGUCGUAGAAGGAUGGGCCCGCGUUGGAUUAGGUAGUUGGUGGGGUAAUGGCCCACGAGGCCGACGAUCCAUAGCUGGUUUGAGAGGAUGAGCAGCGACACUGGGACUGAGCCACGGCGCAGACUCUUGCGGGAUGGAGGCGAGGGGGAUCUUAGAAAACGGGGGGAAUCCUGAUGGAGCCAUGGCGGGUGAGUGAUGAAGUCCGGAGAGAUGUAAAGCUCGUUCAGCUGGGAAGGUAAUGACGGUACCAACAGAAGAAGCACCGGCUAACUUCGUG